This 371-nucleotide ribosomal RNA is filed under the name uncultured bacterium. RNAcentral describes it as "bacterial SSU rRNA". It matches the Rfam family "Bacterial small subunit ribosomal RNA", at positions 606 to 975 of the family's 1533-position model. The record is from RNAcentral.
GGCUUAACCCGGAAACUGCAUUGAAUACUAUUCUGCUCGAGGGUUGGAGGGGGGACUGGAAUACUUGGUGUAGCAGUGAAAUGCGUAGAUAUCAAGUGGAACACCAGUGGCGAAGGCGAGUCCCUGGACAACUCCUGACACUGAGGCACGAAAGCUAGGGGAGCAAACAGGAUUAGAUACCCUGGUAGUCCUAGCCGUAAACGGUGCAUAUUUGCUGUAAAAGGAAUCGACCCCUUUUGUGGCGUAGCCAACGCGUUAAAUAUGCCGCCUGGGAAGUACGGUCGCAAGAUUAAAACUCAAAGAAGUUGACGGGGGCCUGCACAAGCGGUGGAGUAUGUGGCUUAAUUCGAUGCAACGCGAAGAACCUUACC